RNAcentral lists this ribosomal RNA (225 nucleotides) under Trigonopterus monticola. RNAcentral's name for it is "partial small subunit ribosomal RNA". It matches the Rfam family "Eukaryotic small subunit ribosomal RNA", at positions 23 to 241 of the family's 1831-position model. Lineage: Eukaryota; Metazoa; Arthropoda; Insecta; Coleoptera; Curculionidae. The record is from RNAcentral.
GUCAUAUGCUUGUCUCAAAGAUUAAGCCAUGCAUGUCUCAGUACAAGCCAAAUUAAGGUGAAACCGCGAAAGGCUCAUUAAAUCAGUUAUGGUUCCUUAGAUCGUACCCACAAUUACUUGGAUAACUGUGGUAAUUCUAGAGCUAAUACAUGCAAACAGAGCUCCGACCGGAGACGGAAGGAGUGCUUUUAUUAGAUCAAAACCAAUCGGUGGCGGGUUCGCGCU